RNAcentral lists this transfer RNA (74 nucleotides) under Aedes aegypti (yellow fever mosquito). It matches the Rfam family "tRNA". Rfam says of the family: Transfer RNA (tRNA) molecules are approximately 80 nucleotides in length. Their secondary structure includes four short double-helical elements and three loops (D, anti-codon, and T loops). Further hydrogen bonds mediate the characteristic L-shaped molecular structure. tRNAs have two regions of fundamental functional importance: the anti-codon, which is responsible for specific mRNA codon recognition, and the 3' end, to which the tRNAs corresponding amino acid is attached (by aminoacyl-tRNA synthetases). tRNAs cope with the degeneracy of the genetic code in two manners: having more than one tRNA (with a specific anti-codon) for a particular amino acid; and 'wobble' base-pairing, i.e. permitting non-standard base-pairing at the 3rd anti-codon position. The record is from Rfam by way of RNAcentral. Lineage: Eukaryota; Metazoa; Arthropoda; Insecta; Diptera; Culicidae.
CCUCUCAUGGCGUAGUGGUUAACGCGCCCCAACUAGAGACCGGGGAGUCGUGAGUUCGAUUCUCACUGAGAAGA